AGGACGAACGCUGGCGGCGUGCCUAACACAUGCAAGUCGAGCGAGGAGAUCCUCGGGAUGAUCCUAGCGGCGGACGGGUGAGUAACACGUGGGCAACCUGCCUCAUAGAGAGGAAUAGCCUUCCGAAAGGGAGAUUAAUACCUCAUAACAUUGCAGUUUCGCAUGGAACAGCAAUUAAAGGAGCAAUCCACUAUGAGAUGGGGCCCGCGGCGCAUUAGCUAGUUGGUGAGGUAACGGCUCACCAAGGCGACGAUGCGUAGCCGACCUGAGAGGGUGAUCGGCCACAUUGGGACUGAGACACGGCCCAGACUCCUACGGGAGGCAGCAGUGGGGAAUAUUGCACAAUGGGGGAAACCCUGAUGCAAGCAACGCCGCGUGAGUGAUGACGGCCUUCGGGUUGUAAAGCUCUGUCUUCAGGGACGAUAAUGACGGUACCUGAGGAGGAAGCCACGGCUAACUACGUGCCAGCCGCAGC
RNAcentral lists this ribosomal RNA (475 nucleotides) under uncultured bacterium. Its description in RNAcentral is "bacterial SSU rRNA". It matches the Rfam family "Bacterial small subunit ribosomal RNA", at positions 26 to 518 of the family's 1533-position model. The record is from RNAcentral.